RNAcentral lists this ribosomal RNA (498 nucleotides) under uncultured bacterium. RNAcentral describes it as "partial 16S ribosomal RNA". It matches the Rfam family "Bacterial small subunit ribosomal RNA", at positions 28 to 507 of the family's 1533-position model. The record is from RNAcentral.
GACGAACGCUGGCGGCGUGCCUAAUACAUGCAAGUCGAACGAGAGCAACCGGUGCUUGCACUGGUCAAUCUAGUGGCGAACGGGUGAGUAACACGUGGGUAACCUGCCCAUCAGAGGGGGAUAACAUCCGGAAACGGAUGCUAAAACCGCAUAGGUCUUCGAACCGCAUGGUUUGAAGAGGAAAAGAGGCGCAAGCUUCUGCUGAUGGAUGGACCCGCGGUGCAUUAGCUAGUUGGUGAGGUAACGGCUCACCAAGGCCGUGAUGCAUAGCCGACCUGAGAGGGUGAUCGGCCACAUUGGGACUGAGACACGGCCCAAACUCCUACGGGAGGCAGCAGUGGGGAAUCUUCCACAAUGGACGCAAGUCUGACGGAGCAACGCCGCGUGGGUGAAGAAGGUUUUCGGAUCGUAAAACUCUGUUGUUAGAGAAGAACAAGUGCUAGAGUAACUGUUAGCGCCUUGACGGUAUCUAAACAGAAAGCCACGGCUAACUACGUG